GACGAACCGUGCGAACGUUGUUCGGAAUCACUGGGCUUAAAGGGCGCGUAGGCGGCUUACCAAGUCCGGGGUGAAAUUUUGCGGCUUAACCGUAACAGUGCCUUGGAUACUGGUAGGCUCGAGGGAGAUAGGGGUCUGCGGAACUUCCGGUGGAGCGGUGAAAUGCGUUGAUAUCGGAAGGAACGCCGGUGGCGAAAGCGGCGGACUGGAUCUCUUCUGACGCUGAGGCGCGAAAGCUAGGGGAGCAAACGGG
RNAcentral lists this ribosomal RNA (253 nucleotides) under uncultured bacterium. RNAcentral describes it as "partial 16S ribosomal RNA". It matches the Rfam family "Bacterial small subunit ribosomal RNA", at positions 524 to 776 of the family's 1533-position model. The record is from RNAcentral.